CUGGAGUCCAGGUGGCUCCGGGAACUAGGAGAAAAAGGAAACACUCUCCCCUGGAGUCCCAGGAAGCAAUCAUCUGGGUGGUUGAUUUCUGCUCAGUGAAACUGAUUUCAGACUUCCUGCCUCCAGAACUCCAGACCGCCGAGCUUUGCUGAGGCAUCAUGGUGGGACUUAAAGAAGUAUCUUGGCCGGGCGCAGUGGCUCACACCUAUAAUCCCAGAACUUUGGGAGGAUGAGGCAGGAGGAUCAAUUGAGUCACGGAGUUCAAGACCAGCCUGGGCAACAGAGUGAGACUCUGUCUCUACAACAAAUUUUAAAAAAAUUAGUCAGGAAAAACAAAGAUCCCCAAAGUCCAUUUCGCUCCGAGGUCAGUGGACACAGCUCUGUGACUGUCCUGUGCUGUGUGGGUCUGUAGAAGGGCCAGUCAUGGGCCAUCGAGCUACUCACAGCCAACUGCACCCAAGUCCAAGCCUGGCUCUGUUCCCAUACACAGAGACAGGAUGGGGGCUGCUGAUCUGGCCUGAAGCCUUGCUCUGGGCACUGAAAACGGGGGCUAUUUCCUUACCUGAAGAUCUGGAAGCAGCAUGUUGACAAAAGCACCAACUGCUCUGCCAUCACGUCCCACUGGGUGUCAGUGGGAAGGCCUAACCAAGGCCUGCC
This 657-nucleotide long non-coding RNA is filed under the name Homo sapiens (human). RNAcentral describes it as "HSALNT0134191". The record is from RNAcentral. Lineage: Eukaryota; Metazoa; Chordata; Mammalia; Primates; Hominidae.